Electrophorus electricus (electric eel) is the source of this 873-nucleotide long non-coding RNA. RefSeq lists it as uncharacterized. Lineage: Eukaryota; Metazoa; Chordata; Actinopteri; Gymnotiformes; Gymnotidae. The record is from RefSeq and is a predicted model, not a curated record.
GGGAGAGCUACAGCUCAUUCUGUAGUAAAAUGCUCUCAAUCUCAAUCUUAUUUAGACCUUGGGAUUAGAUCUGUCUGGUAGUCACCAGGACAGUGACUUUUGAGGGCAGGGAUAAAUGUAAUGGGUAGGAGUUAAAAGGGACUGUAGAAAAGCAGGUGUACCAUGGGGCAUUAGUACCCAGCAGUGUUGGUAGUAACAUUGUGUGUCUGUUGCUUUAAAUUCACCUAUGGGUAAUUUUGAGUUUAUAAUUCACGAUGUGUGCAUGUAAGGGAGAACAUGAGCAUUCCUGACUGUAUUGGUGAUCCCGGGAUGCUGGGAGGGUGUCCAGAUGAUAAAUUGCGUGUAAGGGAUGCAUGGCAGCUUAGCACUAGCCACUGUUUUGUAAUAUUGUUUUUGUAAUAUUGUUUUGUGAUACAAUUCUUUUGUUUGUUUGUUUUUUGUUUUGUUUUUUUGUUUGUUUUUUGGUCUUCUAAUAUUUUCUGGGUUUUGUUUGUGUCUUUCUAAGGCCUGCUUUCUAAGGCCUGAGAUUAUAGUUAAUCUUUUACAGUUUAGUUUAGCAUUUUCCCUUGCCGAUGGUGGUGGAGCCCACUGAUAUGUAGGAGUGCUGUGUAUUGGUGUUUUUUUCUGUGUAUUUUCUUUUGAUUUGUUGUUUAUCUCAUUUAUUUGUUAUUGGCUUGUUGGUGUCACUGUGAUUGGAGUGUUUAGUUUAAGGCUUCAGUGGGUAUCCCUUGUACGCUUAGGAACUGUUGUAAAUUGUACAAACAUUAUACACUUUUGAAAUUUGGACAAUGCAAAUAAAUCACAGUUGAGCUGUUUUUUUACUUAUGUUUCAGCUUUUAUUAAAUUAACUAAUAAAGACACUUUCUUGCUUCU